UAGACUUGGGGGUGACCAAAUCUGGAGAGAAGCUUGUGAAUUGGAAAUUAUGAAAAAAGAAAGAAAGAAACCACCAAGAAGAUCGUGAGACUUUUUGAAUAGAACUUCACAGUACUCUGUGUAGAAGUGAUGAUCCUCAAAAUG
Molecule: long non-coding RNA, 144 nt
Filed under: Fukomys damarensis (Damara mole-rat)
Lineage: Eukaryota; Metazoa; Chordata; Mammalia; Rodentia; Bathyergidae
Description: lncRNA (ENSFDAG00000021624.1)
Source: RNAcentral